AAUGGUGGCGAACGGGUGAGUAACGCGUAGAUAAUCUGCCUUUUAGACUGGGAUAAGCUCGGGAAACUGAGUCUAAUACCGGAUGUGAUCAUGAAGAUGCAUAUUUUUAUGAUUAAAGAACUUGAUUCGCUAAAAGAUGAGUCUGCGUGGCAUUAGCUAGUUGGUGAGGUAACAGCUCACCAAGGCAUCGAUGCCUAGCUGGUCUGAGAGGAUGAUCAGCCACACUGGGACUGAGAUACGGCCCAGACUCCUACGGGAGGCAGCAGUGAGGAAUAUUGCACAAUGGGGGCAACCCUGACGCAGCAACGCCGCGUGUAUGAAGAAUCGGUUUAUCCGUGUAAAGUACUGUUGAUUGGGAAGAACGGCAAGGUUAGCAGCCUUGUUUGACGGUACCAGUUAAGAAAGCUCCGGCUAACUCCGUGCCAGCAGCCGCGGUAAUACGGAGGGAGCAAACGUUGUCCGGAAUCAUUGGGCGUAAAGGGUACGAAGGUGGGAUCUUAAGUCAGUUGUUAAAGAUUACAGCUUAACUGUGAUUUGCAAUUGAAACUGGGAUUCUUGAGUUCGAGAGGGGACGGUGGAAUAUCUAGUGUAGCGGUGGAAUGCGUAGAUAUUAGAUAGAACACCUGAGGCGAAGGCGACCGUCUGGCUCGUAACUGACACUCAAGUACGAAAGCAUGGGUAGCGAACAGGAUUAGAUACCCUGGUAGUCCAUGCCGUAAACGAUGGAUACUAGAUG
Molecule: ribosomal RNA, 736 nt
Filed under: uncultured bacterium
Lineage: Bacteria
Description: bacterial SSU rRNA
Rfam family: Bacterial small subunit ribosomal RNA
Source: RNAcentral